Molecule: ribosomal RNA, 673 nt
Filed under: uncultured bacterium
Lineage: Bacteria
Description: bacterial SSU rRNA
Rfam family: Bacterial small subunit ribosomal RNA
Source: RNAcentral
GAAUCAACGCUGGCGGCGUGCCUAACACAUGCAAGUCGAACGAGAAAGGGGAGCAACCCCUGAGUAAAGUGGCGACCGGGUGAGUAACACGUGACUAACCUACCCUCGAGUGUGGAAUAACAUCGGGAAACCGAUGCUAAUACCGCAUAACAUCGCAAGAUCAAAGGAGCAAUCCGCUUGAGGAGGGGGUCGCGGCUGAUUAGCUAGUUGGCGGGGUAACGGCCCACCAAGGCGAAGAUCGGUAGCCGGCCUGAGAGGGCGCACGGCCACACUGGAACUGAAACACGGUCCAGACUCCUACGGGAGGCAGCAGUGGGGAAUUUUGCGCAAUGGGGAAAACCCUGACGCAGCAACGCCGCGUGGAGGAUGAAGCCCCUUGGGGCGUAAACUCCUUUCGACCAAGACGAUAAUGACGGUACUGGUGGAAGAAGCACCGGCUAACUCUGUGCCAGCAGCCGCGGUAAUACAGAGGGUGCAAGCGUUGUUCGGAAUUAUUGGGCGUAAAGGGCGCGUAGGCGGCGCGACAAGUCACCUGUGAAAUCUCCAAGCUUAACUUGGAGCCUGCAGGCGAAACUGUCGUGCUGGAGUAUGGGAAGAAGUGCGUGGAAUUCCCGGUGUAGCGGUGAAAUGCGUAGAUAUUCGGGAGGAAACACCUGUGGCCGAAAGCGGCGCA